Molecule: long non-coding RNA, 2553 nt
Filed under: Bos grunniens (domestic yak)
Lineage: Eukaryota; Metazoa; Chordata; Mammalia; Artiodactyla; Bovidae
Description: lncRNA (ENSBGRG00000015793.1)
Source: RNAcentral
AAAUUCCUCAUACCAAACUGCUUUUAUGGAAAACUUAAGGAGAUUAGAGCGUUUGCCAUGGGUGUUGAUCAACCACUGUGUCCUCAUCAAGUCACAAGGGUUUCACAGGAGGAUUAUUAAGGGGUUGGAUCUUCUCACACACGCCACUUGACAAUGUCCUCAGUAUUGAGCAGUUUGUUUCCAGAAGAGGAUUAAAGUCCAGCUGUGAAUCGCUGCAUGUGGUUAUUGUUCGGUACUGAGUGUAGUUCCCUGUUCAUAUCGCCUCUUAAUAUAAGCGUGUACUUUCAUACUCCCCGUCUCCAACCUGUUGUCUUUCUAUGUUGUCUCCUUGCAGUGGCUGAGUUGAGUAUUGUUUCAUGGUUACUUGUUCUCCCCCUUGUUCCUAAAAUCCACCCCCAUUCCACCCUAGCCUUUCUAAUGCAUUUAAUAAUAUGUUCCUAUAUAUGCGUGACUCCUUCAACAUACAGUGGAGUGUAUUCCAAAUUACGUAAGUGGCGCCACAUUGUGGAUCUCAGUCUUUCCACUCAGUGCUUGUUUAAGAUGUAUGCGCAGCUGCGUGGAUAUAUCUUAUUCCUGGCAUAUAACUGCAGCCUGGUGUUCUAGAGUAUUUUCUUAUCUGAUCCCCAAGUGAUUCUCACUGUAUCAGUUAAGGUAAUAUGAGUUAAUGGACCAAACACGAUGAAUUUAUUAUUAGCAAUAAAAAUUUCUCCUGCAAGCAGGCACCUCUCUCCUAAGGCAGGGCUCUGAGGAUCCAGGCAACGAUCUUUGUAGCUCUGUUAUCUUCAGACCAAGGUUACCAAGGCUGCCAAGGUUUCUGGUAAUGAGGAAGGGGAGAGAGGACUAAGGAUUUCACUGGAGGAUUAUCUGGGUCAUGCCUAGAGCAGUGCAGUCACCUCUGUUAAGUCUCAUUGGCCAAGCUUGGUCAAAGACCACACCUAAUGCCAAGGAGGUUGGAAAGCUGUUGUAAAUGGUACCGUUGUUUACAUUUUAGUUCUUCAUUUGAUAUGUAGAUAUACAAUUAAUCUGUUUCAAUGUUGACUUUAUAUUCUGUGACCUAACUAAAUUUACUUGUUCUAGUAAUUGAUUAUAGACCAUUAAAAAUUUUCUACAUAGUCCUCUUUAAAAAGAAAAUAUUUGAUCUUUUUCUUAUGAUCAUAAUGGCUUUUCCUUGUGUUUUGAGUACCAUGUUGAAUGGAAGUGGUAAGAGUGGAUAUCCUUGCUCUGUCACUGACUAUAGGGAGGAAACAUUUAGCGUUUCAUUCCUGAGUGUGAUGUUGGCUGUAGGUGUUAUAUUGAUGCAUUUUCAGACAGAGGAAAUUCCCUUCUACUACUAGCAUGCUGAGUGUUCGCUUCUUCAUAAAUUGAUGUAGGAUUUUAUUAAAUUUUUUUGUGUAUAUUUAAAGAAUCGUGUGAUUUUUUCCCUUUGUUAUGUAAAUAUGGCAUAUUUUAUUGAAUGGUUUUCAAUCUUAAACCAACUUUGCAUUCUGGGCAUAAACUCCAUUUAUUCAUGAUAUAUUGAUUUAUUAAUAUUUUGCUAAGGAUAUUUGCAUGUAUGUUCAUUAGACGUACUGGUCUAUAGUACCCUUUCCCUGUAUUAUCUUUGUUUAGUGUUGGUAUUGGAGAAAUGUUGGAUCCAUAAAAUAAGUUGAAAUAUUUCUACUCCUUUUUCUGAAAGAGAUUGUGUAAGACUGCUGUUAUUUUUUUCCUUAAAUGUUUGAUAGAAUAUGCUAAUAAAACCAUCUGGACCUGGAGACUUGUUUUUGAGAAACUUUAAUAGUUAAUUUCUUUUAUAGAUAUUGGCAUUCACAUUUCAUAUUUCUUCUUGUAUCAGCUUUAAUAAGUUAUAUUAUUUAUAGACUUGGUUCAUUAUAUCUAAAUUGUUUAAUUUAUCAUAAAGUUCAUAGUAUUUGCUUAUCCUUUUAAUGUUUUUCAUUCCUGAUAUUGGUAAUUUGUGUUUUUAUUUUCUUGAUUAGUAUACCUAGAGUUUAUCAAUUUUUAAGUCUUUUAUUAGAACCAAGUUUUCAUCUUCAUUUUCUGUUUUUGUAUUUUCUCUAUUAGCCUUCAUUAAUUUACUCAAUUUCAUAAAAUUAUUCUCUUAUAGUCUACUUGCUUUGGGUUGAUUUUAUUCUUUAAUAGCUAUUUAAAUGGAACUUUUGGUUUAAGAGGUUUCCUCCUUUCUAAGAUAAACAUUUAUAGCUAUAAUUUGCCUUUGAGCUGCUAAACUGUUUUCGGUGCAUCAUACAUGUUUUAAUAUGCUUGAUCGAUUAAUUGGCCUCCCUGGUGGUUCAGUGGUAAAGAAUUCAUGUGCAAUGCAGAGGAUGUAGGUUUGAUCCCUGGGUCAGGAAGACUCCCUGGAGAAGGAAAUGGCAACCCAUUCCAGUAUUCUUGCAUGGAAAAUCCCAUGGAUAGGGGAGCCUGGUGGGCUACAGUCCAUGGGUUCUCAAGGAGUUGGACAUGACUUAAUGACUAAAUAACAAGAAAAUUGAUUGACUGGUAGCAGGUUGCAUAAGCAAGGGGACUUAUAAGUCUUGUCUUGGGCAGCUGCAAAAUGCA